AUGCGGAUCUCCACCCGCCAGCGCCUGACCUUAGCGUCGGGGUGGUCCGCUCCGGUGCCGGCCGGAUCUGGAUCACGAUUUUCUUGCCUCCGUGCAAAUGACGGAGGUGAGGACUCCUCGACGGCCGAGACCUCCGAGGCAUCGCGCCGGCGUAAGACUGACGAGGAGCUGGCCGCCGAGUUGUGGGCCGACAUUGGGUAUCCUACAUCAGCCUCACGAGUAUGGGAGAGACCGUCUUCUAGGCGAGGAUCUGCUCAGAAGGAUUGUGCACAAGAGGUAAACGGUUCUUCGACCUCGCCGGCAAUUCAUUCGCGGGGGUCGUCGCCGGCUGCAUGCCAGCUCGUGAGGGCUCCGGCUAUAUCUAGGCCUCUGGUACGGCCCUGGAUCGGACCUCUCCCUGCCCCCAGAGUCUCUCCCUCUCGUACUCUGGGAGAUGCCAUGCCCUCGGCCGGCUUGGCGAGGACGGCGGUGAUCACGCCGACGGCGCCUCCGAUGUUUCGUGCGACGGGCAUUUCGCCGGACGAGUCGGGGUGGUCGAUGGGCCUGGGCCCUCACCCAAUCUCAGGUGCGUCACAUCUGAACCGUUCUUUACGCAUGGUUAAUCUCAACCGUUGGUUGUUUCAUAUGUGGAACAGGGACACUCCUCGCAGAAACCCUAAUCUUCCUCGAUCCUUCAUGGCUGCCGUCUGCUCGGGGAUGGGUCGCGACGCGUCCGCGCCGCCGGGCUCUGGGCAGGUCCGACCUGCAGCCGCCGCGCCGAUGCCCUCGGACGCCUCCUCGUCUGGUGGCACCCCUGGCUUCGCACCUGGGGUGUUCCCCCCGGUGAUCCCUUCUUCCUCCGCUCAAAGUGUCAUGCCGAACCUUCCCCAACAGACUCCAGCACCGGGGCAGCAGCAACAACAGAUGUAUCAAAUGCCGCAGCAGUUCUUUCAGCAGCAACCGAUGUAUCAUGCGCCGCCGGGGUACAUGCAGCAAAUGGCGCCGGUGUACUCAUAUCAACUAGCCGGCCCUUUCUUGCAACAGAGCCAUGGUCACCCCACUGCUGUCCAGCCAAUGGCCUUUAACGCUGGUCUGGCAAACUCGGCGGCCGGAGUUCAGACAGGGAAUAUCCGUCCUAGGAAACCGAAGGGAGGAAAAGGAAAUCGGCCUAAGAACUAUGCGGGAAACACCCCGAUCAUCGCUGCUCCACUCACCUUGCCCUAUCAUGGCGUACAAGGUGCUCCGGCUUUUGUCUCGGGGCCUCUUGUGACUGCUGCUCCUCUUAUGGCACCGGCUCAACAACAACAUGAUGUGGCUCAGGUGGCACCUGCUCCCGGGGUGAACACGGUAAUGACCAAGUUAUGGUGUACCAAGUGUCAGUCGGCCGGACAUGUGGCUUUAGAUUGUGAAACACAGCAAUAUUGUUUCAUCUGUAACAAGGCGAACCAUCCGAUGACUACUCGGCGGUGUCCAGCUCUCAAGAUGCCGAAGCCGGCGGCGAUGCUAUGGGACUGA
RNAcentral lists this ribosomal RNA (1494 nucleotides) under Triticum aestivum (bread wheat). RNAcentral's name for it is "partial small subunit ribosomal RNA". Lineage: Eukaryota; Viridiplantae; Streptophyta; Magnoliopsida; Poales; Poaceae. The record is from RNAcentral.